Molecule: ribosomal RNA, 232 nt
Filed under: uncultured bacterium
Lineage: Bacteria
Description: partial 16S ribosomal RNA
Rfam family: Bacterial small subunit ribosomal RNA
Source: RNAcentral
CGGACGGGUGAGUAAUGUCUGGGAAACUGCCUGAUGGAGGGGGAUAACUACUGGAAACGGUAGCUAAUACCGCAUAACGUCGCAAGACCAAAGAGGGGGACCUUAGGGCCUCUUGCCAUCGGAUGUGCCCAGAUGGGAUUAGCUAGUAGGUGGAGUAACGGCUCACCUAGGCGACGAUCCCUAGCUGGUCUGAGAGGAUGACCAGCCACACUGGAACUGAGACACGGUCCAG